RNAcentral lists this ribosomal RNA (489 nucleotides) under uncultured bacterium. Its description in RNAcentral is "partial 16S ribosomal RNA". It matches the Rfam family "Bacterial small subunit ribosomal RNA", at positions 28 to 507 of the family's 1533-position model. The record is from RNAcentral.
GAUGAACGCUAGCGGGAGGCCUAACACAUGCAAGCCGAGCGGGAUUUGUUGGUUAGCUUGCUAACUAACAAUGAGAGCGGCGUACGGGUGCGUAGCACGUGUGCAACCUGCCUUUAUCUGGGGGAUAGCCUUUCGAAAGGAAGAUUAAUACCCCAUAACAUAUUGAUUGGCAUCAGUUAAUAUUGAAAGCUCCGGCGGAUAGAGAUGGGCACGCGUAAGAUUAGCUAGUUGGUGAGGUAACGGCUCACCAAGGCUGCGAUCUUUAGGGGGCCUGAGAGGGUGAUCCCCCACACUGGUACUGAGACACGGACCAGACGCCUACGGGAGGCAGCAGUGAGGAAUAUUGGACAAUGGGUGAGAGCCUGAUCCAGCCAUCCCGCGUGAAGGACUAAGGACCUAUGGUUUGUAAACUUCUUUUAUACAGGGAUAAACCUACUCUCGUGAGGGUAGCUGAAGGUACUGUAUGAAUAAGCACCGGCUAACUCCGUG